Molecule: microRNA precursor, 103 nt
Filed under: Marmota monax (woodchuck)
Lineage: Eukaryota; Metazoa; Chordata; Mammalia; Rodentia; Sciuridae
Source: RNAcentral
AGAGGGAUAGGUGGGUCAAAUGGUGGUUCCAUUCCCAGAUUUCAAAGGAAUAUCCAUACUGCUUUCCAUAAUGGCUGCACCAAUUUGCAGUCCCACCAGUAAU